This is a long non-coding RNA of Bradysia coprophila, 987 nucleotides long. RefSeq lists it as uncharacterized. Lineage: Eukaryota; Metazoa; Arthropoda; Insecta; Diptera; Sciaridae. The record is from RefSeq and is a predicted model, not a curated record.
UAUAAUUUGUAGAUAACCGUUCUGGUCACCUCUAGGAAGAAUGGGAAGUUCCAAUCCGAGCAAAUUAGGCAAACUUCGUUCGUGUUGGAAUUUCCUAUUUUGUUUGCUUGGUAAAGAAAUAACUAUUUCAGACGGGAAAGAGCUGAGUGAGUGUCUUGAAAUGCACAAUUUUCUCCUUCAAGUGCAGCUUUAAAAAUGUGAUAUAGCGCAACGAAUAACACAAUAUAAAUAUCAAAUGUGUACAUAAAGUGCGUUGCAGAAGCGGAAAAGGGGCAUAUUUUUGUGAAGAAAGUGCGUUGCAUUGAGUUGAUUGGGAUAUACUCUUCUAAAUGUUGCAUGCGCAUCUACUGUUUUCUUCGCGUAUAUUGUGGAAAUAUCAAAUUGUUGAGUGUUACAUUAUAAGUUCAUUGAUUUUUACGAAAAGUAAGGAAAGGAGCCGAAAAUUGAAAUAGAGAAUUUAUGCAACUGAUACUAUAAAUUCGCACAUCGUUACAAUGACUGAAGAACUAUGUCAGACAGUUUACAGUAUGGAGAUGCUUUGUGGUACAGAUGGUGAGGAUUAUGAUAAUAUUAGCAUUUUGCGGUGCGCGCAAAGAACCGAAUAUGGAAGACGUGUAAACUUACAAGUUAAACAUGAUAUGGGCUGCUGGGUAUGGGAACGAUACGGAAUCGAUACAUCCAUAAUUGCCUUUAUAUUGACAGUCCUCAUUGUUCUUAGCCUAUACUUAUGCUUUUGUCGAGCCAGGCGAACCUCGCGGAAUAAGGAAAUUCCAUUUGAAAAUCUUAUGUCAGCAUGAAUGGAACGAUGCUUCAAAUUGAGAUUGUGUUUGUGAUGCAUUUUAUUCGUUUAUGCAAAUCAGCAUCACAAUGUUCGAAAAUUGUGAACUAUAGAUGUCUCUGUUGCAUAAAACGUUGUAUCAAUCUCAGUGCAAAGUAUACUUUAUUAGGCUCACAAUAUGUAUUAUGACACACGGCCUUCGGUCUCGU